GAUGAACGCUGGCGGCGUGCCUAAUACAUGCAAGUCGAGCGAACAGACGAGGCGCUUGCUCCUCUGACGUUAGCGGCGGACGGGUGAGUAACACGUGGAUAACCUACCUAUAAGACUGGGAUAACUUCGGGAAACCGGAGCUAAUACCGGAUAAUAUAUUGAACCGCAUGGUUCAAUAGUGAAAGACGGUUUUGCUGUCACUUAUAGAUGGAUCCGCGCCGCAUUAGCUAGUUGGUAAGGUAACGGCUUACCAAGGCGACGAUGCGUAGCCGACCUGAGAGGGUGAUCGGCCACACUGGAACUGAGACACGGUCCAGACUCCUACGGGAGGCAGCAGUAGGGAAUCGUCCGCAAUGGGCGAAAGCCUGACGGAGCAACGCCGCGUGAGUGAUGAAGGUCUUCGGAUCGUAAAACUCUGUUAUUAGUGAAGAACAAAUGUGUAAGUAACUAUGCACGUCUUGACGGUACCUAAUCAGAAAGCCACGGCUAACUACGUG
This 497-nucleotide ribosomal RNA is filed under the name uncultured bacterium. RNAcentral's name for it is "partial 16S ribosomal RNA". It matches the Rfam family "Bacterial small subunit ribosomal RNA", at positions 28 to 507 of the family's 1533-position model. The record is from RNAcentral.